GUCGCCUUAUUUCAUUGUCUUUAUUUUAGUUGAGAAAGCCUCAUAGAGACUAUUUAUAAAAGACUUGCCACUAUUGAUUGUGCAUGUGUUGUUAGGUGUGUUUUUUCCAUUAUUUCUUAAUUUGUAUUCAUCGUGCUCACUUUCUAGCUGCGUUUUAAUAGAUUCUGUACCAUCUAUUAGCUGUUUGUGUAUUUAUUCUUUGUAAUAAUUUAAAGCAUACUGAUUGUUUGGAAUUUCAAAAUAUCUAAUGGAAAUAUAUAUUGCUAUGCUAACUGCUCUCUUGUUUUUAUUAGUUCUUAAUCAUUGUUUUUAGAAAGGGAAACCAUGGUUCACAGCUAACAGCCAAACUGCCUUUAAGAUUCCAAAAAGUUGAGAUAGAUGAAAAUCCUUAUAUCAUGCUUGCCAUAGAUUUCUGUGUAACGAAAGUAUGUCAUAAGUAGAGUUUCUUCUAAUUUCUGACUUAUAUGCUCGUUUUUUAUAAAAUAUCUGACCCCAAAUUUCUUUUCAUUUACUUCUGUAAUUUAUUGCAGUCUAUGCCUCCAUCCACCACCUUUCCCACCUUCCCCACCUUUCAGUUUCUUAACAUUAAGAAAAAGAUCUAUCGUGUUUAAAUGUUUCUGAAAAAAGCCCCUUGGUUUGGUGUUGUGUAUGCUUUUAUACUGGAAAACAGAACAUGGAUCCUUUACCACCUCUUAUUGCCAUAAGACAUGAAUGAGGUUUCCAGCAAAUCUUACUUUUUUUCUUUUCUUUUCUGCUUCUUAUAAUUUUAUUAGAACUAUCAGAUUAGACCCAUGUGUCAAUCCCAACCUCUUAGAGUUACUAUUACCAUCCUCUGCUCAAGAGCACCAUCGUGCAACCUAUAGAACAGAUUCUGUUCAAUGCUUGAUGAAGUUAGUUGUGGGAUUUGCUGUUGCUCAGCCGUCAGUGGUUAUCGAAAAGGGAAAGAGAGGGAGGGAUGACCAGUGAGGGGAGGAGAAUAGUUUAAUUUUAGUUUUUCAUUUCUUAAAAUGAAGUUUCUUUACCAACUUUUCUUCUUCAAAUUACAUUUGAAGUCUAAGCUAUUUAUGUAUUAUUAAAGUAAUUGUACGAACUUGAAAUUGUAUACUAUGAAUGAUGAUGUUGACUAGGUCUUUUAUUUUUGUCCAUAGAUGGACAUGAGAACUGCACGGCUCUACACAAUGCAUACCUUAUUUCAUAAUUUGUUCCGAGAUUAAAUAUAUUGUGUUUUGAGAAUUAAGAGCAUUGUAUCCUUA
Cucumis sativus (cucumber) is the source of this 1253-nucleotide long non-coding RNA. RefSeq lists it as uncharacterized. NCBI's taxonomy places the organism in Eukaryota, Viridiplantae, Streptophyta, Magnoliopsida, Cucurbitales, Cucurbitaceae. The transcript has 2 exons. The record is from RefSeq and is a predicted model, not a curated record.